Molecule: non-coding RNA, 1881 nt
Organism: Phasianus colchicus (ring-necked pheasant)
Lineage: Eukaryota; Metazoa; Chordata; Aves; Galliformes; Phasianidae
Source: RefSeq, a predicted model, not a curated record
UUCCCUCAGAGAGGAGAUGAGGCUCCUCGUGUAGGUCUUCCCUUCCCCCUGGCAGGGCAGGCACUAUCAGCAUCCCAGGCAGAACCAGAAUUAAAAGUGGACUUGCCAUAGCAUAAAGGUGAAGAGUGGAAUAGCUCCUGGUUCUGCCAUGCUGGGAGGUGUGCUGGAGGAGGAUUGCUUUGUUCCUGGCCAAUGGACUAAAGAAAACAUAGAGAAAAAGGUGCACACAGUCAUCAUUGUCGUCAGCAACUGGAGAUGGAGUAGAAGAAUGUAAUGGAGCACACAUCUGGCAGCAUGACAUCCUUCCUAUGGGGUGCAAUGUGCCCUCCGAGCACGGAAUCAUCACUGUGGAUUCCUGCUUCAGUCCUGUGGGCAUGAGUUGUACUGUGUGCACUGAGGAAAGCCAGAAAGGAGCACGGUGUCAUCACCUGAGGGGAAACAAAAAUCAGAAACGAGGAGGGGAAAUUUUGGUGCUUAUUUUUAGACUCUGUGGUGAAUACAGUGAGCGGAAGGAAAGAAGAUACCAUCUUAUCAAAGGAUCUUCUGAUUUCCUUUAUAAACAGCUAAGAAGAAGCUUUACCACUUCCCUCACUCAGUAUUAAGCAAAGGACUUUUGGAAGGACAACAGAUGAUACGUCUACCAGAAUCCUCUUUGACUGUCUUAGGAUGUGUCUUUAGUUUAAGUGUCAAUAAAAACAAAUACUGAUUUAAAGCCAGAUGUUUCUAAUUAGUCUGCAGUGUUGUAUUUUAAUCUGAUGUGGGGAAAGAAGACUUUGGUCUUUGAUUCAGGAAACCUGCUUUUGUCACUGACCCUGAAGCUGUCCUUGUGGCUGACUUCAUGUGAGUCAUUGCAUCUCUAUGCCACUCUCACACUUCUCAAACUCAUCAGCAUCACCUUACACAAUAAAGGUAAAUUAUUCGACAAGAUAUCACUGCAAUUAAAUUCAAUAAUUGGCAGAAAUUUACAGUCAGAUCAUUCUAAAUAAGGACCAAGUGCAGUGGACACGUUAAAGCUAUUCUGGUAACUUAUACUGUAAAUUGUUUUAUUGUGCAGUAGCAAUUUCAGAAAAUUCUUAGGGCAAAAAAUGGACAAUUAGUCUUGUUUUGAAUGUUGCAACGGAGAUGAAAAUAUAGAAAAGAGAAAUUAUUUCCAUUAUAAAAUGUCAGGAGUGUAUGGCUAUAAUGAUCCUUAAGAGGAGAUACUGCAAGAAAUAGACUGGAUUAAAUUCUUGCAAACAUUCAUGGAGUAAAAAUAUCAUUAAAACAUUCUAAGAGCCAUGUGAUCAGAAAGUGUAAAAGCAGUGCUCUGGAAAUGAAUGUUUUCCCAAGAAAGCUUUCCAUUAAGAGCAUGGGAGACUGCACUAUUUCUUGUGCUAAAAAAUAAAAGUUACAUUCCAACUUUAAAGAGACAGUGCUUCCAUAGAACUUGCACACACAAGAUUAUGAAAGAAAAUAAGUUUAGGACUUGGUCUGUAUUUUUUUUUCAAGUGUGCACUUAGCACUCCUUUUGUGUUUUUCCAUGUGGAUGAUAAAAUGUAGAUGGAGCAGUUUCACAAUUGCUUCCAUUUGAUUUCUUUUUUUCUGAUUUGUAUGCACUUGUGGAAUUGCUGCUAUUGGAAAAAUAGUAAUGAAAUCACUCUCAGGAAUGGAGUGCACAACAUAUUUUGUUGACAUUUUGAUAUGUAUGUCAAGUAAUCCUUUUCUUGUCUAAGCUUUUGUAAGCUCACUUUUGGUGAGGACUGUUGUGCUCAGUGCCUAGCAAAUGAAAUGAGAAACUUUAAUUGCUAUUUUGAAUCGAGUGUGUGCUAGUAGCAAUGUAAUGGUUGCUUCCUAUAGGGUUAUUUUUAAAUGACCCAUAAAUAAACACUUACAUGGUCUCAG